CGCUGGCGGCGUGCCUAACACAUGCAAGUGGAGCGACGAACCAGACUUCGGUCUGGGGCCAAGCCGCGAACGGGUGAGUAACACGUGGGUAACCUGCCCCGAUGAUCGGGACAACCCGGGGAAACCCGGGCUAAUACCGAAUGUGGUCCCGGCUCUUGAGAGCCGUGACGAAAGGAAGCUUCGGCCUCCGCAUCGGGAGGGGCCCGCGGCCCAUUAGCUAGUUGGUGAGGUAACGGCUUACCAAGGCUUCGAUGGGUAGCUGGUCUGAGAGGACGAUCAGCCACACUGGGACUGAGACACGGCCCAGACUCCUACGGGAGGCAGCAGUGGGGAAUCUUGCGCAAUGCGCGAAAGCGUGACGCAGCAACGCCGCGUGCGGGAAGACGGCCUUCGGGUUGUAAACCGCUUUCAGUUGGGACGAAGCUUCGCCGGUGAAUAGCCGGCUGGAGUGACGGUACCUUCACAAGAAGCCCCGGCUAACUACGUGCCAGCAGCCGCGGUAAUACGUAGGGGGCAAGCGUUGUCCGGAAUCAUUGGGCGUAAAGAGCGUGUAGACGGCUUCGUCAGUCCGUUGUGAAAGUCCAGGGCUCAACCCUGGAAUGCCGAUGGAUACUGCGGAGCUAGAGUACGGAA
This 633-nucleotide ribosomal RNA is filed under the name uncultured soil bacterium. Its description in RNAcentral is "bacterial SSU rRNA". It matches the Rfam family "Bacterial small subunit ribosomal RNA", at positions 34 to 653 of the family's 1533-position model. The record is from RNAcentral.